Molecule: ribosomal RNA, 253 nt
Filed under: uncultured bacterium
Lineage: Bacteria
Description: partial 16S ribosomal RNA
Rfam family: Bacterial small subunit ribosomal RNA
Source: RNAcentral
UACGGAGGAUGCAAGCGUUAUCCGGAAUGAUUGGGCGUAAAGCGUCCGCAGGUGGCUAUGUAAGUCUGCUGUUAAAGAGUGAGGCUCAACCUCAUAAGAGCAGUGGAAACUACAUAGCUAGAGUGCGUUCGGGGCAGAGGGAAUUCCUGGUGUAGCGGUGAAAUGCGUAGAUAUCAGGAAGAACACCGGUGGCGAAAGCGCUCUGCUAGGCCGCAACUGACACUGAGACGCGAAAGCUAGGGGAGCGAACAGG